GACGAACGCUGGCGGCAUGCCUAACACAUGCAAGUCGAACGAAGACUUCGGGCUUAGUGGCGCACGGGUUCGUAACGCGUGGGAAUCUGCCCCUUGCUUUGGCAUACCUGUUAGAAAUGACUGCUAAUACCGGAUGAAGUCUUCGGCCCAAUGAUAUAUCGGCCAGUGUUGAGCCCACGUAGGAUUAGGUAGUUGGUGGGGUAAAGGACUACCAAGCCGGCGAUCCUUAGCUGGUCUGAGUGGAUGGUCAGCAACACUGGGACUGAGACACGGCCCAGACUCUCACGAGAGGCAGCAGGGGUGAAGAUGGGACACUGGACGCAAGACGGAGCCAGCAAGGCCGCGUGAGUGAGGUAUGCCGUAGGGUUGUAAAGCUCUGUACCAGGGAUGAUAAUGACAGUACCUGGAGAGUAAGCGCCGGCUAACUCCGUG
This 432-nucleotide ribosomal RNA is filed under the name uncultured bacterium. RNAcentral describes it as "partial 16S ribosomal RNA". It matches the Rfam family "Bacterial small subunit ribosomal RNA", at positions 28 to 507 of the family's 1533-position model. The record is from RNAcentral.